This is a long non-coding RNA of Oncorhynchus keta (chum salmon), 293 nucleotides long. RefSeq lists it as uncharacterized. The record is from RefSeq and is a predicted model, not a curated record. Lineage: Eukaryota; Metazoa; Chordata; Actinopteri; Salmoniformes; Salmonidae. The transcript has 3 exons.
UGGAGGAGAGGUCUGCUGAGUUUCUCUGAAACGAAAAGCCUCGGGGCCAUAGCCUAAGUGUAGUGCAGAGAGCUCGAUAAUGUCUCGUAGAGAAGACACCACGAAGACGAAGGUCUGAAAGCAGCAGGUGGCCACGGUGUGUUAGUCACCGAAGAGGAAGGUCUGAAAGCAGCAGGUGGCCACGGUGUGUUAGUCACCGAAGAGGAAGGUCUGAAAGCAGCAGGUGGCCACGGUGUGUUAGUCACCGAAGAGGAAGGUCUGAAAGCAGCAGGUGGCCACGGUGUGUUAGUCAC